Molecule: long non-coding RNA, 2239 nt
Organism: Ahaetulla prasina
Lineage: Eukaryota; Metazoa; Chordata; Lepidosauria; Squamata; Colubridae
Exons: 3
Source: RefSeq, a predicted model, not a curated record
CACUGCCUCCAUCUCUCUCUACUUCAUCUGGCAGCUGGUUUCCCUGGUGGUCCGGAAAGAUUGCAAGCAACCAAGAGAAACCUGUGUUGUUUGGGCGUAAGGAAAUCCCUGCACCUUUGCACAGAACCCUGAUCUGAAAACUCCCCUUUGACUCGGGAUACAAUCAAUCUUCCUUCAUGAAUCCUGUCUCUGAAAUACUUACUUUCUACAACAAAACCUGAACUACACAUGUCUGUUUCCCCAAUCUGCAAAACACCUAAUUCUGCCAAAGAAAAUAAGAGAUUUCAAGGUGAGGAUUGAGAAAUGCAGUAUCAAAGAAAUGUCAUUCAACAGCUUUCACUCAGAUAAUUUUUUUCCAAUUCAUCACCACUCUUGAAUCAUGAUCAGGCAUUCUGCUAAAACCUCAAGCACAGAUGGUUUAUUUCUAAUCCAGUAUAGAGUGAUUCUGUGUCCUUUCAAAGUUUUGAACUACAAUUACACACAAUCUUGUACCUCCAAGUGCUAAAUGGGUGGAGUACAUGUGCAGAAAAACUGAAAUUCAUCAGUUUACCUACCUUUACUCUAAUAUCACACCUUUUACUGGGUAAUCUCAACAGCUAAACAUGCAACAUAAACAAUUGUAGGAAGUUAAGUAAGCUGGAGUGAUGGCUACCAAUUUGGGGGGAAAAGUUUCCUUGGUUAAACAUACACUGGGUAAGCCAGAUUUUACCACUUACUUCAGGACAAAUGACUAGGUGGCUCAGUGGCUAAAACACUGAGCUUGUCGAUCAGAAAGGUUGGCAAUUCAGCGGUUCAAAUCCCUAGUACAGGUCUCCUGCGUGAGCAGGGGGUUGGACUAGAUGACCUCCAAGGUCCCUUUCCUACUACUGUUCCAACUGUAACAAGUUACAAUUACCAAUCUGUUACAUGAAGACCUCAAGAGACAGAUCUGUUUUUUAAAAAAAUAAUUCUGCCAUUAAUAGUGAAACCAAUAUGAUUAGCACUUAAAAAGAGGGUAAAGAAGUGGGAAGUGGGAAUGGAAAAAGAAAGAUGAGUUUAGUUCAUACAAUUUGGUUUUGGUUUAGCACAUUCACCCAAAAUAUACCUUUUAAGGGCAAAAGAAAACAACUGGUAAAUUUUCUCUUUCCCCCCUCCCAACCGCCCACUGCACACAAAGACAUUUGGGGAAGGCAUUCCAGAAAUCAGGACUGCACAGGGAGAACCAAGUUAAGAGAGGAAGAGAUGCAUAAAAUAGUUUGGGAUGCACAAUGAACAUUCUGUGCUGGUCUUGAUACACGUACUACUAAAAAGUGCAGGGUGUGCACAUAUUCAUAUAUUCUCAGGACUUUGCCACAUGAACAGGUUCAAAGGAGUCAUAUGAAAUGGCCAUCUAAAAAAGUGGAAUGCCAAGCACCAGCUUUCCUUUUUCUAAAUGUUUUUACUUAUAAUCUAAUUCACAAGUUAUUUAGUCUUUCUACAACUGGGGCAGUGAGUGGGGAGGGGGAAUAUGUUCAGAUAGGAGGAGGAAAGAGAAGAGAAAAAUGGGGGGGUGGGAUUUAGCCAUUCUAAAGAAUGGCUUAUCUUCUACACAAUUUUGCCAUGUGUAUCUAAUAAAGCGGUGAACCAAUCCAGAUUUAAUUUAUUCGCCAUUUCACUCUCUGUUGUUAGAAGCAGUAGAAACCUUAUGUAGGCUGUGAAUGUAUCUGGGCAGCAAGAAUACUUUUAAUACUAAAAAUGCUGUCUCACUCUUAGCCCACAAAAUAGACUGUCAAACCUCUCCUCCUGCUAGCUUCUCCCUGUUUUAUCAGACACCAGGGAGCUGUCAGCGGGUGGGGUAGGGGAGACUUAGGAGGAGGACAGUUCAGGUGGUGGUUCUGGAUGAAGAUGACAAUCACAGAUCAAAGCUACAUUUUAUGGACAGUGGACUCAUCCAUAAAGUAGAAAGCACUACUAAACGCUUGUGUCCAAGUGUAGUGUUUCCUACUUUAUGGAUGAGUGUACUGUGAGCAACGGAGGCAACAAGGGACAACACAAUCAGGAAUGGAAAACAGAAGCAGCAGCAUAAUGUGUAAGUAUUGUCAGAUUGUCCACAGAUUGUAUUGCACAAUAUUUUAUUUAGGUACAGAUUCCCUUUGAUGUACUGCCAUUAUAUUCAUCCUUUUUUCCCAGCAUUUGGACUCAAAAUUCCCCAAGCUACAUUUAGGACCAUUUUGUAUGUUUCUGAGUUUAAAUAAAAUAAAGGAGAAAAGCUAACAAAGUG